RNAcentral lists this long non-coding RNA (4933 nucleotides) under Xyrichtys novacula (pearly razorfish). Lineage: Eukaryota; Metazoa; Chordata; Actinopteri; Labriformes; Labridae. The record is from RNAcentral.
CCGCAACUUCUCCUCCGUUGUUCAGCCGUUGACUUCUCUAACUAGUCCCAAAGUCGAAUUUGAUUGGUCCCCUGCCUGUCAGCAUGCGUUUGACAGCGCAAAGUCCCUCCUUAGCCACGCCCCUGUCCUUGCAGCUCCUGACUUCUCCCAGCCGUUCAAACUUGAGGUAGAUGCCUCUGCAGUAGGUGUCGGGGCUGUCCUGUUGCAGGAGGAUAGUGAUGGAGUUGACCAUCCAGUAGGAUAUUUUUCCCGCAAAUUUAACAAGCAUCAGGUGAACUACUCAAUCAUAGAAAAAGAAACCCUUGCUUUGUUAUGGUCACUUCAACACUUUGAAGUAUAUGUAGGUUCCAGCCCUCUGCCAGUGGUGGUCUUCACUGACCACAACCCACUCGUCUUUCUGCAUCGUAUGUAUAACCACAACCAAAGGCUUAUGCGGUGGGCACUGGUCAUGCAGGAUUACAAUGUGGAGAUCCAGCACAAAAAGGGGUCUGACAAUGUUGUAGCAGAUGCGUUGUCCAGAAUGUAAUGUUGACUUUGUUAACCCUUGUGGUUGUUUUGUUUAUGACAAACCUCAUUAGGAGGGUUUGCCUCUUAAGGGGAGGGGUGUUACGGCCGCCGCCUUAGUGUGGCGAGUCUUGGGUCUUCCUCUCUCUGUGUGUGUGUGCGUGUGUGAGAGUGCGUGUGUGUGCAUGCUGCCUGCAGUUCACAGGUUGCCGUGGCUGCGGAUCAAUCAAGUGCCUGAUCACUGUCCAAAACCUUUGUAGGAACUCUUUUCUGACCUUUUGGAGUUAGUUAGACCAAAAAAAAGAUAAAUGAAAAAAAAAUAUUUGGGGUGUUCGGGCUUCCUGAAGGUAAUACCCGGGUAUUAGGUUUUGGGGCUAGGGUUAGGUUUAAGGUUUUUGGCGUUAGGGUUAAAAUAACUGUCCAAUAUUUUUUAAGGAACAUGUUUCAGACCUUUGGGAGUUAGUUAGACAAAAAAAUAAGAAAAAGAAAAAAAAAAUAUUUGGGGUGUUCGGGUUUCCUGAAGGUAAUACCCGGGUAUUAGGUUAUGGGGCUAGGGUAAGGUUUAAGGUUUUUGGCGUUAGAGUUAAAAUCAGUGUCCAAAACCUUUUUAGGAACAUGUUUAAGACCUUUUGGAGUUGGUUACACCAAAAAAAAAAUGUAAAAUGCAAAAACAAAAUAUUUGGGGUUUUUGGGCUUCCUGAAGGUAAUACCCCGGUAUUAGGUUUUGGGGCUAGGGUUAGGUUUAAGGUAUUUGGCGUUAGAGUCAAAAUCACUGUCCAAAACCUUUGUAGGAACUCUUUUCCAACCUUUUGGUGUUAGUUAGACCAAAAAAAAACGAAAAAUGAAAAAAAAAUAUUUGGGGUUUUUGGGCUUCCUGAAGGUAAUACCCGGGUAUUAGGUUAUGGGGCUUUGGAAAGGUUUAAGGUUUUUGGCGUGAGGGUUAAAAUCACUGUCCAAAACCUUUGUAGGAAGUCUUUUCCAACCUUUUGGAGUUAGUUAGACCAAUAAAAAAAUGAAAAAUGAAAAAAAAAAAUUUGGGGUGUUCGGGCUUCCUGAAGGUAUUAGGUUUUGGGGCUAGGGUAAGGUUUAAGGUUUUUGGCGUUAGGGUUAAACUCACUAUCCAAUAUUUUUUAAGGAACAUGUUUCAGACCUUUUGGAGUUAGUUAGACCAAAAAAAAGAAAAAAGAAAAAAAAAUAUUUGGGGUUUUCGGGCUUCCUGAAGGUAUUAGGUUUUGGGGCUAGGGUAAGGUUUAAGGUUUUUGGCGUUAGGGUUAAAAUCACUGUCCAAAACCUUUUAAGGAACAAGAUUCAGACCUUUUGGAGUUGGUUACACCAAAAAAAAAAUGAAAAAUGAAAAAAAAAAUAUUUGGGGUGUUCGGGCUUCCUGAAGGUAAUACCCUUCAGGUUUAAGUAUUAGGUUAUGGGGCUAGGAUUAGGUUUAAUGUUUUUGGCGUUAGGGUUAAAAUCACUGUCCAAUAUUUUUAAGGAACAUGUUUCAGACCUUUUGGAGCUAGUUUGACCAAAAAAAAAGAAAAAUAAAAAAUAUAUAUUUGGGGUGUUCGGGCUUCCUGAAGGUAAUACCGGGGUAUUAGGUUAUGGGGCUAGGGUAAGGUUUAAGGUUUUUGGCGUUAGAGUUAAAAUCAGUGUCCAAAACCUUUUUAGGAACAUGUUUAAGACCUUUUGGAGUUGGUUACACCAAAAAAAAAUGUAAAAUGAAAAAAAAAAAUUUAGGGGUGUUCGGGCUUCCUGAAGGUAAUACCCGGGUAUUAGGUUUUGGGGCUAGGGUAAGGUUUAAGGUUUUUGGUGUUAGGGUUAAAAUCACUGUCCAAAACCUUCGUAGGAACUCUUUUCUGACCUUUUGGAGUUAGUUAGACCAAAAAAAAAGAAAAAAGAAAAAAAUAUAUUUGGGGUGUUCGGGCUUCCUGAAGGUAAUACCCGGGUAUGAGGUUAUGGGGCUAGGGUAAGGUUUAAGGUUUUUGGUGUUAGGGUUAAAAUCACUGUCCAAAACCUUUUUAGGAACAUGUUUCAGACCUUUUGGAGUUGGUAACACCAAAAAUAAAUGUAAAAUGAAAAAAAAAUAUUUGGGGUGUUCGGGUUCCCUGAAGGUAAUACCCGGGUAUUAGGUUUUGGGGCUAGGGUUAGGUUUAAGGUUUUUGGCGUUAGGGUUAAAAUCACUGUCCAAAACCUUUUAAGGAACAUGUUUCAGACCUUUGGGAGUUAGUUAGACAAAAAAAUAAGAAAAAGAAAAAAAUAUAUUUUGGGUGUUCGGGUUUCCUGAAGGUAAUACCCGGGUAUUAGGUUUUGGGGCUAGGGUUAGGUUUAAGGUUUUUGGCGUUAGGGUUAAAAUCACUGUCCAAAACCUUUUUAGGAACAUGUUUCAGACCUUUUGGAGUUGGUUACACCAAAAAAAAAUGUAUAAUGAAAAAAAAAAAAUUUAGGGGUGUUCGGGCUUCCUGAAGGUAAUACCCGGGUAUUAGGUUUUGGGGCUAGGGUAAGGUUUAAGGUUUUUGGUGUUAGGGUUAAAAUCACUGUCCAAAACCUUUGUAGGAACUCUUUUCUGACCUUUUGGAGUUAGUUAGACCAAAAAAAAAAGAAAAAAGAAAAAAAUAUAUUUGGGGUGUUCGGGCUUCCUGAAGGUAAUACCCGGGUAUGAGGUUAUGGGGCUAGGGUAAGGUUUAAGGUUUUUGGUGUUAGGGUUAAAAUCACUGUCCAAAACCUUUUUAGGAACAUGUUUCAGACCUUUUGGAGUUGGUAACACCAAAAAUAAAUGUAAAAUGAAAAAAAAAUAUUUGGGGUGUUCGGGUUCCCUGAAGGUAAUACCCGGGUAUUAGGUUUUGGGGCUAGGGUAAGGUUUAAGGUUUUUGACGUUAGGGUUAAAAUCACUGUCCAAAACCUUUUAAGGAACAAGAUUCAGACCUUUUGGAGUUGGUUACACCAAAAAAAAUGUAAAAUGAAAAAAAAUAUAUUUUGGGUGUUCGGGCUUCCUGAAGGUAAUACCCUUCAGGUUUAAGUAUUAGGUUAUGGGGCUAGGAUUAGGUUUAAGGUUUUUGGCGUAAGGGUUAAAAUCACUGUCCAAUAUUUUUUAAGGAACAUGUUUCAGACCUUUUGGAGCUAGUUUGACCAAAAAAAAAAAAAGAAAAAGAAAAAAUAUAUAUUUGGGGUGUUCGGGCUUCCUGAAGGUAAUACUAGGUUUCUGGGCUAGGGUAAUGUUUAAGGUUUUUGGCGUUAGGGUUAAAAUCAAUGUCCAAAACCUUUGUAGGAACUCUUUUCCAACCUUUGAGAGCAAGUUAGACCAAAACAAAAAGAAAAAAAUAUAUAUAUAUUUGGGGUGUUCGGGCUUCCUGAAGGUAAUACCCGGGUAUUAGGUUAUGGGGCUAGGGUAAGGUUUAAGGUUUUUCGGCGUGAGGGUAAAAAUCACUGUCCAAAACCUUUGUAGGAACUCUUUUCCAACCUUUGGGAAUUAGUUAGACAAAAAAAAGAUAAAUGAAAAAAAAAUAUUUGGGGUGUUCGGGCUUCCUGAAGGUAAUACCCGGGUAUUAGGUUUUGGGGCUAGGGUUAGGUUUAAGGUUUUUGGCGUUAGGGUUAAAAUAACUGUCCAAUAUUUUUUAAGGAACAUGUUUCAGACCUUUGGGAGUUAGUUAGACAAAAAAAUAAGAAAAAGAAAAAAAAAAUAUUUGGGGUGUUCGGGUUUCCUGAAGGUAAUACCCGGGUAUUAGGUUAUGGGGCUAGGGUAAGGUUUAAGGUUUUUGGCGUUAGAGUUAAAAUCAGUGUCCAAAACCUUUUUAGGAACAUGUUUAAGACCUUUUUGAGUUGGUUACACCAAAAAAAAAUGUAAAAUGCAAAAAAAAAAUAUUUGGGGUUUUUGGGCUUCCUGAAGGUAAUACCCGGGUAUUAGGUUUUGGGGCUAGGGUUAGGUUUAAGGUAUUUGGCGUUAGGGUUAAAAUCACUGUCCAAAACCUUUUUAGGAACAUGUUUCAGACCUUUUGGAGUUGGUUACACCAAAAAAAAAUGUAAAAUGAAAAAAAAAUAUUUGGGGUGUUCAAGCUUCCUGAAGGUAAUACCCGGGUAUUAGGUUAUGGGGCUAGGGUAAGGUUAAAGGUUUUUGGCGUUAGGGUUAAAAUCAGUGUCCAAAAACUUUUUAGGAACAUGUUUAAGACCUUUUGGAGUUGGUUACACCAAAAAAAAAUGUAAAAUGAAAAAAAUAUAUAUUUGGGGUGUUCGGGCUUCCUGAAGGUAAUACCCGGGUAUUAGGUAAUGGGGCUAGGGUAAGGUUUAAGGUUUUUGGCGUGAGGGUUAAAAUCACUGUCCAAAACCUUUGUAGGAAGUCUUUUCCAACCUUUUGGAGUUAGUUAGACAAAAAAAAAAAGAUAAAUGAAAAAAAAAUAUUUGGGGUGUUCGGGCUUCCUGAAGGUAAUACCCGGGUAUUAGG